AUGGUUUUCGAAGACGAAAGCAGUGAGGACACGUCCAGCCUGCCGUACAUGCACUCGACCUCAUCCACGGACGGGCUUAACCAGGUCCCUUUCAGCGUUGAAGAUCCAGAUUACCAGGAGCUUGAGCUGGAAACGAUGUCACCAUGUGAGAAGCACGGCAAGGCAUCUGAGAGGCUUGUCGCAUUUGAAGGAACAGACACAGGGAGAAGGUUCUUAGCAUGUGCAGAGCCGGAAGGGCAGAAUUGUGGGUUUGUUGAAUGGGUUGAUCACCAGUGGCCCCCAACAAUGCAAAAUGCAUUGUUGAAGCUGUGGGCAAUGGUUGAAGAUAGAAAGAGUGCUAGGGUGAAUGAUAAUCUUGAAAGUUCUUUCACUAUCCACCAUCUGACAGAAGAGAAGAACAAGCUGGAGGCCAACUAUGACAAGUUAGUCCAAGAUAUGCAUGAGCUUAUGAGCUUCCAGGAGGAGAGGGUGGUGGAUUUCAGAUAUCUACAGUCUAGCAUUACAUAUCAGCAACAAUGCAUAAGUGAACUGGUGGCUGAUAUGAAGGCACAAAUGGCAAAGAAAGAUGCAGAGUCUGAGAAGCUUAAUCAUAAGUAUGAAGUGCUACUGAACCUGACAAGAGCUCAAGCAACAAUCAUCCAGAACUUGAAGUUGAAGAAUAUUACAGACAUGCAAUUGCUUAGUGAAGCUAAGAUGAACUUGGAGUUGAAGAAUGUAGAGCUCACAAAGUCUGAGGAGAAGCUCACCCAAGAUAAGCUAGAGUUGAAGUUUCAGGUUGCUGAUUUGCUUAAGGGAAAGGAAAAGCAUGGUGAAGAGAAGGGGCAGCUAGAGCUUUAG
Molecule: ribosomal RNA, 837 nt
Filed under: Triticum aestivum (bread wheat)
Lineage: Eukaryota; Viridiplantae; Streptophyta; Magnoliopsida; Poales; Poaceae
Description: partial small subunit ribosomal RNA
Source: RNAcentral